GCGCGGAGCGGUGCAUUUCGGGACAUGUAGUUCCCCCGCUGCAUUGUGGGAGUCGUGGUUUGCGUUCCCGCCGGCGCCGGAGCUUCCGCGGCUUGGAGUUACCCAUGAGACCUGACUUGCCAGCUUCUUCCCUCGUGUGUUUGUCUGAUUGGGCCUGCGUCGACCGGGAGUGAAUUCACAGUUGAUCCAGCAUGAACUGGAAGGUUCUUGAACACGUGCCUCUGCUGCUGUAUGUAUUGGCAGCGAAAACGUUAAUUCUCUGUCUGGCAUUCGCCGGAGUCAAAAUAUAUCAAAGGAAAAGACUGGAAGCAAAACAGCAAAAACUGGAGGUAGAAAAGAAGAAGCAAUCAGAGAAGAAAAAUAACUAAACAGAAGUCAAAGAUUGAACGCAGUGAGCAGUUUCCUUAACGAUGGUGUGCUGCUCCAACUUCUUCAUUUAUCAAGGCAUCAUCUCGUGUGGCAUCGUUUCGUGUGUGAAGCCGUGGCGAGGAGGAAAAGAUGAGCUGUGAGAUCAUAAACACUCCUUCUCCCCACGGACGUCAAGGGGCCGGUCCGUGAAGUGGGGUGCGUGGCUUAGCGCUGAGCUCAGAACUGGCCAGGGGUUCGUUCCCCUCCUAGGCCGGCAGCUCAUCAAAGCCUGCAGCCUUGUUUGGAACCAAAGGGAUUUUCGAUGGAAGGGAAAUUGUGAUGCUAAAAAUACAUUGAUGGAUAGAUACGCUUUGAUGGUUUGUUUGUUGAGUGAGUGUCUGAACGCACGUGUCUAUGCUGCGCAUGUCGACUGCCGUUAGUUUAGCAGACGUUUCCUGCUCGUCCCUGAGGUUCUUCUUUUCUGGAUUUUGUACUUUAAAUGUCAGCUUGAGAGGACUCCAGCCGAGAGGAAGGAAAGACUUAAUCACUGAUGUGUCAGAGGAUAAAUUCCCAACCUAUAGCUUUAACUUAAAAUGAUGUGAAUUUUAAUAUGCUUUCAAAAGAAUAGUAUUUUCUUUAGUAAAACAAAAUACCUGUGAAAAA
RNA transcript from Pteropus alecto (black flying fox), 1011 nucleotides. It is a transcript of the gene named small integral membrane protein 11A, with no coding region annotated. The transcript has 5 exons. The record is from RefSeq and is a predicted model, not a curated record. Lineage: Eukaryota; Metazoa; Chordata; Mammalia; Chiroptera; Pteropodidae.